Molecule: ribosomal RNA, 301 nt
Filed under: uncultured bacterium
Lineage: Bacteria
Description: partial 16S ribosomal RNA
Rfam family: Bacterial small subunit ribosomal RNA
Source: RNAcentral
CAGCAGCCACGGUAAUACGUAGGUCCCGAGCGUUGUCCGGAUUUAUUGGGCGUAAAGCGAGCGCAGGCGGUUAGAUAAGUCUGAAGUUAAAGGCUGUGGCUUAACCAUAGUACGCUUUGGAAACUGUUUAACUUGAGUGCAAGAGGGGAGAGUGGAAUUCCAUGUGUAGCGGUGAAAUGCGUAGAUAUAUGGAGGAACACCAGUGGCGAAGGCGACUCUCUGGUCUGUAACUGACGCUGAGGAGCGAAAGCGUGGGGAGCGAACAGGAUUAGAUACCCCUGUAGUCCCUGUCUCUUAUACA